Long non-coding RNA from Magnolia sinica, 835 nucleotides. RefSeq lists it as uncharacterized. The record is from RefSeq and is a predicted model, not a curated record. The transcript is spliced from 2 exons. NCBI's taxonomy places the organism in Eukaryota, Viridiplantae, Streptophyta, Magnoliopsida, Magnoliales, Magnoliaceae.
CCCCUCUUUUAUUUCUUCUUUUCUUUGGUCCAGCAUAUUAGGGAUCAUUAUGCAAUAUCAUUAUACCGAAUCGAGAAGAUUAGAGGUUUCUUCUCAAUCCAGUUCGGAGGAAUUAGGGUUUCGAUUCGAUCUGGGCUCAGAAAUCCUAAUUCCUCAUCGUCCGGAGGUUCAACCCCAUGAAUUUCUUCAUUCUAGGGUUUGUGGAUCGAUUUAGAACGCCGUUUCCUUGUAAUCUAGAUCGAAAUAUCGAAGGAGUUAGGGUUUCUGAUGGAUUCAAGCAAAAGAGCUAUGGAAUCUUAUUGUUGAUCUUGGAUGAUUGAUGGCGUGACAUCAGAUGAGGACAAGGUCGCUCCAGUUUACAAAUUAGAGGAGGUUUGCGAGCUUCUGCAAUCUUUGCAUGUCAGCAUCGUGAAAGAAGUUUCCGACUUUAUCUUCAAAUGGCUUGAUCAUAAAAGUCCGAUGGUCAAGCAAAAGCUCAGGGUGGCAUUGGGGUGGGGCCCACCUUUCAUUUAAUCUAGGCAUUAUACCUGAUAUAUUAAAUAUCAAUUCCAACACUUGUGGUGUGUUAUAUACCCUAUGCUUCAAAUUAAACAUAGGCCAUUUAUCUGUCUAUGGCUGCGUGCUGUUGGGCUGACUUUUGCAGGAAGGCCUAUGUUUUGGCGUGGUGUACAGGUCUUCUACGCAUCUAGCGGGUGAGUAGAGUAGUGGUUGUUUCCUGCACAUCUAAGAUCAAUUAAAGCAAAUUCGAGGUGUUUUUUUUUUUUUUGCUUCCAAGUGGGUGAUGCAGUUGGGUUAAAAAAGACUGUGAUUGAACGUCCACCAUUAAAAACUUCUU